CAGCCGCCGCGGUAAUACGUAGGUGGCAAGCAUUGUCCGGAAUUAUUGGGCGUAAAGGGCUCGCAGGCGGUUUCUUAAGUCUGAUGUGAAAGCCCCCGGCUCAACCGGGGAGGGUCAUUGGAAACUGGGAAACUUGAGUGCAGAAGAGGAGAGUGGAAUUCCACGUGUAGCGGUGAAAUGCGUAGAGAUGUGGAGGAACACCAGUGGCGAAGGCGACUCUCUGGUCUGUAACUGACGCUGAGGAGCGAAAGCGUGGGGAGCGAACAGGAUUAGAUACCCCCGUAGUCCCUGUCUCUUAUAC
This 301-nucleotide ribosomal RNA is filed under the name uncultured bacterium. Its description in RNAcentral is "partial 16S ribosomal RNA". It matches the Rfam family "Bacterial small subunit ribosomal RNA", at positions 509 to 807 of the family's 1533-position model. The record is from RNAcentral.